Molecule: long non-coding RNA, 1872 nt
Filed under: Homo sapiens (human)
Lineage: Eukaryota; Metazoa; Chordata; Mammalia; Primates; Hominidae
Description: HSALNT0372890
Source: RNAcentral
UGAAACCUCCAGUACUGGCCAAAACUGGGUAAUAAAUGGACUCAAGGAGUUGUGGGCCCAGCCAGAGCCACAAAUUCUAUUUUCUUAAACAGAAGUAUACACUAACUCAUCUCACUCAGUCACAAACUCAAUAACUGUCAGAAAAUAACCAGGAGUUUUGCCUUGUGUUUUUGGCAAUGAUUUGAUGCUAGGUGCCUGCAGAGAGAGUUUUAUAACUAAAACAUGCUUGCUAUUGCCAAACAGACUUUGGCAAACGGUCUAAUGCAAUAUUUAUCAUAUGCCAUUUAAAGUGAACUGAAAAGAUAAAUGUAGGGAACAUUAAUAGCACACACAGCUGAUGCAUUAGUAUUAAUUUGACUGCCUUUGCUAACAUGCAAAAUAGUUUUCCACUCAGAGAAAUUAAUACAGAUGCAUCCAUAUUUAUUUGAUUGCCUUUGCUAACAUGCAAAACAGUUUUCCACUCAGAGAAAAUUAGUGUAGCUCCACCACAAGACAUGCAUAGACACACAGUGAGACAAAUUAUUUAUGAAGCAAGUGUCUGGGACAGGAGAGGUCAUUUGGAAAAUCCUCUAAAAGCCAAAGAAUUGGUUUCUCCCUUUCUGUGUCUUCGGUCAGGAAAAAUUCCCCCUUGUCCAUGCCGUAACAAAGUUUUCCAAAUAACUUAGCAAAACUUGAACUUUCUUUCUUUAACUCCGAGAAAAACUUGCCUUAAAUUAUUUGUAGGAAAAAGGUGGAAUAUGUAUAAUUAUUUAAUUGAACUCAAAAAUAACAAAUCACACUCCCAAGUGCUUACUAUGGCCGUUCUUCCACACAAGAAUGUUAGCAGUCUACCUCAUUUCAUCUUCAUAGCUACCCCUUGAGGCAGAUGCUAUCAACAUCCCCAUUUUAGACAUGAUGAAGCUGAAGCAUAUGUGAUUGCAAUAAAUUGUACAAGGUCACAGAGCCAGGACAAUGGAGCCUCAAACCCAGGCAGUCAGAUUUUAGCACCCCUGUUAUUAGACGUCACAUGAAUCUACUUCUCACAGGAAAAGAGAAACAUAAGGGCUUUGAAUUCUUUCCCUCUGGCCAAGCCAACUGACCACAAGUACCUUGUGGCCUGCUUAUGUGAUAAUAGAGAGCAUGGAAAGCACGGACUUAGCAAUCAACGGGACGGGAAUUCUACUUCUAAUCCUAUCAUCAUCAUGACUGGGAACAAAUGACAACCUAUGUAUCAUUCAGUUUCCCUGUCUGCAAAAUUUGCGUGAUAAUCCCUACCUUGCAGGAUUGCAGUAAGGAUGAGAGGUAUUGAGGAAGGGGAAAACACCUGAUUGACAGGUGGAAGAGUUCAUCGGGUAGUCACAGACUCAGCCAUCUCCAGUAGAGUGCCAGGGAGGACACCUGAAGAUCCCCCUUUAAGAUCUUCAAGUGUUCCAUUAGUGGCAUGAUGAUAACAAGAAUGUUCAAUUGUCACUGUAUCAUAAAGUUCUGUUAUCUUUUUGAUAGCUAUCUAGCCCAUGGUGAAGUAACCAGUGGGGGUUGUAUGAUGGAAUAACUGGUGUAUUACAGUAGCUGUAGGCAGAGAGCUCCGGGUUUCUUCAUUUUCAAGAUAAUCAGGCUGGAUGCAGAUAGAGCUUACCAGAUGGGAUGUCGGUGGCAUUAAUAGUGAGAUGAGCAAAAGGCUGAGCUUCAAGCUUGCUCCUCUUGGCCAGAUCUAACCAUGAGCCAUCCACCAUCGCUGGAGAUGAGAGAAACCAUAUUAUUAUAGCCAAAAUAGUAGUGACCCUGUGGGAUUUCAUACAGAUGUAUGGAUCCAUGCUUACCUUUCUCUGCUCUGAUGUGCUGUGAUCCAACGAUAUGUUGUAAUUCCUGAAAUAAAAAGGAAAAAUAAUUUUA